AUCUUUUGGGUUGAGACUGUAUCUAGAGAAGCUGUGCUGUGUAGCCAGAGGUCUUCUUCACCAGUUGGAAACUGAAUGGAAAUUAAAGCUCCAAAUGAAUUUUCUGGGCUUUUGAAAGCAGAAAUGGAAGACUGAGCUGCUGUAUUCUGUUGCUGGCAUUUUACAAGCCAUCAUGAUGGCUUCAGACAAUGGAUUCACUUUUUCUAUAGCCAGUUUCCUCCUUUAUUGAAAAGAAAAAGGAGCUUAGAGGAUAUAAUUUUGAUGUUUUCUCUGUUUGUUACAAAAACUUGCUCACUGCUCUAUUGCUGCUCUUGGCAGUUAAGGAAUGAGUACUGUGAGAGAUUUGGGGGUUAACAACUGAUUUUCUUGGACGUCAAAUUAAGCUCGUAGUUAUGCAGUUCUCACCUGUAAAAGUGAUGAGCAGCUUAAAACCAAGUGAAUAAAAUGGAAUGUUGAUAUAGAAUGCCAGAUCUGUGUGUAGGAGACAUCACGUCUCCUUGCAGCAGUGAACCCUCUCAGUGACUGAACUUCUUACUGAUAUCAGAAAACAUUACUUGUUUAAUUAUUGCAUUGAAGGUACAUGCUCUUCACUCUGACAACCCUGAGUUCUUAUACUCAAAUGUAAUUUUGGGGGAAAUAUUGUAGCAGCAGUAUAAAUGUUCUUUGAUGGCAUAUCCAGAAUUUGAGAGCUUCUUGGUCCAAUAUUUAUCUUGCACAACUCAAUAUAUUCUCUUAUGCUUCAGUUGUUAAGAUUUCAGGAAAGACUGUGCUUCUAUGUUUGCAGCUGAUUCUGUUGAAAGUGACUCAUGAAUAAGACAGCUAUAGCAAUACUGAGUAAAGUUAUUCAGAAAUGUUAUAUUUCCCAUAGCUUAAAAACUAACUGAAAUACUGAACAAUCUUGAAACUUUAUAAAAAUAAAGCAGGCAUUAAUUGCAAAUUCCAGACUUAGUAAUGUCUGUUACAUCAUAAUAAUAGUUUCGUUUCUUUCCAGUUAGACUUGCAAAAUAAAAAAAAAUCUAAAAC
This is a long non-coding RNA of Gallus gallus (chicken), 1023 nucleotides long. The record is from Ensembl. Lineage: Eukaryota; Metazoa; Chordata; Aves; Galliformes; Phasianidae.